AAUAACGUCAUCCCCUAUUGUUAAUAUAAUUAAUAUACUCUAAUGGCAAUCUAUCUUCAACUCUUCAUUGACCAAGGAACUCUAAAAUCAAAAACAUUUUUCAAAAAAGGUGGAUGUUUACAAAUAUAUCCUUAAGACGAGUUGCUACUAUUAUCCGUACUUGCUAAUAUACCGAAGAACCAAUUUACACGAAUCAAAAGGUCUGCACAGGGACUGAUUUCCAAGAUCAGGCAAACUUUCUGAAAGGAAGAUUUUUGAAAAAAAGAAUAUAGCUGCGAUGUGGAUCAGACACUAAAAUAAAUAAUGAGAAU
This is a non-coding RNA of Pelobates cultripes (western spadefoot toad), 311 nucleotides long. NCBI's taxonomy places the organism in Eukaryota, Metazoa, Chordata, Amphibia, Anura, Pelobatidae. The record is from the annotation of a GenBank genome assembly.